AUUAAAAAGGUGAUAGAGUGGUAUAUGGUUAGCUUGAAACUAAUUAAUGUGGGUUCAAUUCCUACCCUUUUUG
RNAcentral lists this transfer RNA (73 nucleotides) under Gymnopis multiplicata. Its description in RNAcentral is "tRNA-Ser". It matches the Rfam family "tRNA". Rfam says of the family: Transfer RNA (tRNA) molecules are approximately 80 nucleotides in length. Their secondary structure includes four short double-helical elements and three loops (D, anti-codon, and T loops). The record is from RNAcentral. Lineage: Eukaryota; Metazoa; Chordata; Amphibia; Gymnophiona; Dermophiidae.